This 253-nucleotide ribosomal RNA is filed under the name uncultured bacterium. Its description in RNAcentral is "partial 16S ribosomal RNA". It matches the Rfam family "Bacterial small subunit ribosomal RNA", at positions 524 to 776 of the family's 1533-position model. The record is from RNAcentral.
UACGAAGGGGGCUAGCGUUGCUCGGAAUCACUGGGCGUAAAGGGUGCGUAGGCGGGUCUUUAAGUCAGGGGUGAAAUCCCACGGCUCAACCGUGGAAGUGCAUUCGAAACUGCAGGGCUAGAGUCCUGGAGAGGAAGGUGGAAUGCUUGGUGUAGAGGUGAAAUUCGUAGAUAUCAAGCGGAACACCGGUGGCGAAGGCGGCCUUCUGGACAGUGACUGACGCUGAGACGCGAAAGCGUGGGGAGCAAACAGG